Molecule: transfer RNA, 72 nt
Filed under: Eubacterium saphenum ATCC 49989
Lineage: Bacteria; Bacillati; Bacillota; Clostridia; Peptostreptococcales; Anaerovoracaceae
Rfam family: tRNA
About the family: Transfer RNA (tRNA) molecules are approximately 80 nucleotides in length.
Source: Rfam by way of RNAcentral
GUCCCGUUGGUCAAGUGGUUAAGACGUCGCCCUCUCAAGGCGGAAUCAGGGGUUCAACUCCCCUACGGGAUA